RNAcentral lists this ribosomal RNA (739 nucleotides) under bacterium enrichment culture. RNAcentral's name for it is "bacterial SSU rRNA". It matches the Rfam family "Bacterial small subunit ribosomal RNA", at positions 61 to 817 of the family's 1533-position model. The record is from RNAcentral.
GUCGAGCGAUGAAGCUUCCUUCGGGAAGUGGAUUAGCGGCGGACGGGUGAGUAACACGUGGGUAACCUGCCUCAAAGUGGGGGAUAGCCUUCCGAAAGGAAGAUUAAUACCGCAUAACAUAAGAGAAUCGCAUGAUUUUUUUAUCAAAGAUUUAUUGCUUUGAGAUGGACCCGCGGCGCAUUAGCUAGUUGGUAAGGUAACGGCUUACCAAGGCAACGAUGCGUAGCCGACCUGAGAGGGUGAUCGGCCACAUUGGAACUGAGACACGGUCCAGACUCCUACGGGAGGCAGCAGUGGGGAAUAUUGCGCAAUGGGGGAAACCCUGACGCAGCAACGCCGCGUGGGUGAUGAAGGUCUUCGGAUUGUAAAGCCCUGUUUUCUGGGACGAUAAUGACGGUACCAGAGGAGGAAGCCACGGCUAACUACGUGCCAGCAGCCGCGGUAAUACGUAGGUGGCGAGCGUUGUCCGGAUUUACUGGGCGUAAAGGGUGCGUAGGCGGAUGUUUAAGUGGGAUGUGAAAUCCCCGGGCUUAACCUGGGGGCUGCAUUCCAAACUGGAUAUCUAGAGUGCAGGAGAGGAAAGCGGAAUUCCUAGUGUAGCGGUGAAAUGCGUAGAGAUUAGGAAGAACACCAGUGGCGAAGGCGGCUUUCUGGACUGUAACUGACGCUGAGGCACGAAAGCGUGGGUAGCAAACAGGAUUAGAUACCCUGGUAGUCCACGCCGUAAACGAUGGAUACU